UCAAAGCUCUUACUAUAUAGUUAUGUAUUUUUAUCUUGUUUUUAGAUGAGUGUUCAAUAGACAUUCACCUGAACUGCCUCAUGGAGGAAGUCUCUAGAUGAUGCUAAGGAAGAGUGAUGUUUCAGGGUCCAUUCAAGCCAGACUGCAGUAGGAUGCUGAUAAUUUCCAAAUGGGCUACUAUGGGUUGUACGUCAAUAAGAAGGACCUUGAUCCCAGAAAUAGGAAGUGGGAUUUAAGAAGCAAUCAUCUGUAAAAAGAACUGGUAAGUAUAGGAAUAAUUCUAUCUAACCAUUGGCUGUGACAAACAGCAAUAAGAAUGAC
This 321-nucleotide long non-coding RNA is filed under the name Felis catus (domestic cat). Its description in RNAcentral is "lncRNA (ENSFCAG00000053102.1)". The record is from RNAcentral. Lineage: Eukaryota; Metazoa; Chordata; Mammalia; Carnivora; Felidae.